Molecule: long non-coding RNA, 204 nt
Organism: Xiphophorus couchianus (Monterrey platyfish)
Lineage: Eukaryota; Metazoa; Chordata; Actinopteri; Cyprinodontiformes; Poeciliidae
Exons: 2
Source: RefSeq, a predicted model, not a curated record
CCUAACUAGUUUGUACGCUGCCCUGCAUCAGCGCUUCUCUCCCCAGGCACUUCCUGCCGAGCUCUGCGUCAGCGCAGCAUCUGCGCUCCUCCUUGUUCCUCAGCCGAUCACUUCAGUUACUGAUCGCCAAGCCAGUGCUGCAGUGGACGAUCCUGCGUGCCCGGUUUAAGCUGCCUUUUAAUAAAUAUCAGAGUUUACUGCUCA